Molecule: long non-coding RNA, 1033 nt
Organism: Scatophagus argus
Lineage: Eukaryota; Metazoa; Chordata; Actinopteri; Scatophagidae
Exons: 3
Source: RefSeq, a predicted model, not a curated record
UGGAAACAUUCCCCCCGAACGCGUUCGCUGUUUUCUGGGAUAAAACGGGGUUGGAAAAUAAGAAUGUCAUACUCGAGCAUUACGCGCGAUUUAUUUUUCAGGUUAGCUUUCUGUUUCCAGGUAAUGGAAGCUUCACGUUCGACCUUCUCUACCCAUCACGCCCCUUCAUCACGUUACCUGAAGAAAACAGCCAAGAGUGGUUUGUCGAAGUCCAACUUUGUAAUCCAAACUAUAUAUUUUAUAGAUCUAAAUAUAAUUAGAAAUAAUUCUGAAUGCACCUCUUAUAACCCUCUCCCUCCAGAAAGCGUUCGGCUGAAUAGUUUUCUGUCUUGCUUUUGGAAAGUUUAAGAUUGAGACUUCGGUUCUGUUCCAAGCCUUAGCGGACUGGAUGAAGAGGAUGAUGAUGAUGAUGGUGGUGGUGGUGGGAGAGCGGGCACACACCGUCACGACUCCGUCUCCAGUGCGGCCGUCGGUAAUGGGAUCCAGCCUGCGGUGAGGAAAUCAUCCGGGAUGCUGCAGGCGCACGAAAUGGUUGACGCUCGUUUAACCUUCGCUUCGAACUCCAAAUUUACUGGUAAUUAGACUGGCUCUUUGGAAAAUAUAACGAUCAAAAAUAGAUUCAGUCAAGACGACUUAGCCCAGAUAUGCGGCGAUCAAAACAAGUUGAUUUUAUUGCUCAAAGAUCAAGACUUCGCUGCUGUUUUCUUUAUAUAGAAGGCUACACAAGACGUAUUCUAACCAAAGUUCCAACUCCAACUGGUCAUAUCUUUGUACGUGUUUCUGCCAUGUAAAGUCGUUUUAAUUAAAAUACCUGAUAAGCCCAGGAAGGUUUCCCCAUGGACGGCAGACCAAACAACAGAUGGGAAAAUCUGACAUAAAAAAAUGUGACAAAAAUUAUUGUUAUACAUUGUUGUACAAUUGUGAUUAUUUCAUUAUUAGCCUGGUAGGUGCAUAUGCAUCAAAGAGUACACAAAAGUACACAAAGAGGACAACUGCUGUUAGGCCUCAGCAGGGCUGCAGUAACUUGUCAGGG